CGAAUUUUGCUUCAAAUACUGGUCACAUGGCGAAGGAACUUCAAAUUGUCUUCCCGGUUAUGAAGUUGUGGUAGAGCAUCCUUACCCGUCUGGAAUAAUAAAAUGUUUAAUUUAUAUUAUUACAUGUGUUCAGUGUUUUUAAUUUUACGAUAAAUAAUAUCAGCUUAAUAUGUGCAAUAAAUACACAAACAGGUUUCCAUAGUUGGUAUUGAACAACUUUUAAUAUUUGAGUAUUUCCCUUAUGGCCAGCUAUAGUUUAGGUUGGUUACGGAUUGUUUUUCAUGGUUCAUCGGUUCGUUUCUUAAUUAUUGGUCACAUGACAGUUCUUGGUCAGUGUAAGAUUCAGUUUGAAUUUAGAAAUUGAAUUGGGCAGUUGUGUCAUACUUUAGUUGAAAACUUUGGACAUUUGGACUUACAGACUACAAUCUACUAAUCAGAUAUACACCAGAUCUACACAUUACUAUAGAUCCAUCCGGAUUCUAAUACCACAUAUUUGGUAAGACUGUGUUAUGUAUUGUUUAGGUGGUGUUUGAUAUGUUUGUCUUGCCAUUAUAUGUUCUGGACAGGUUCUUAGUUUAAAUGCAGAAUAUUAAGUAAAUUUGAUUAAUUAUGAUUUUAUAUUAAUGAUG
This is a long non-coding RNA of Ostrea edulis (European flat oyster), 629 nucleotides long. RefSeq lists it as uncharacterized. The record is from RefSeq and is a predicted model, not a curated record. The transcript has 2 exons. NCBI's taxonomy places the organism in Eukaryota, Metazoa, Mollusca, Bivalvia, Ostreida, Ostreidae.